UACAAAGUUUAGUGCCAUUUCUUGAGUGGA
Molecule: non-coding RNA, 30 nt
Filed under: Mus musculus (house mouse)
Lineage: Eukaryota; Metazoa; Chordata; Mammalia; Rodentia; Muridae
Source: RNAcentral